CGCUAGCGGCAGGCUUAACACAUGCAAGUAGAACGGUAACAGUCCUUCGGGAGCUGACGAGUUGCGAACGGGUGCGUAACGCGUAUGCAACCUACCCAUAACAGAGGGAUAGCCCAUAGAAAUGUGGAUUAAUACCUCAUAACAACUUAAGAUGGCAUCAUCUAAAGUUUAAAACUCCGGUGGUUAUGGAUGGGCAUGCGUGACAUUAGCUAGUUGGUGAGGUAACUGCUCACCAAGGCAACGAUGUCUAGGGGUUCUGAGAGGAUGAUCCCCCACACUGGUACUGAGACACGGACCAGACUCCUACGGGAGGCAGCAGUGAGGAAUAUUGCGCAAUGGAGGAAACUCUGACGCAGCCAUGCCGCGUGCAGGAAGACUGCCCUAUGGGUUGUAAACUGCUUUUAUAUAGGAAGAACUACAGAUACGUGUAUUUGUUUGACGGUACUAUACGAAUAAGGACCGGCUAACUCCGUGCCAGCAGCCGCGGUAAUACGGAGGGUCCAAGCGUUAUCCGGAUUUAUUGGGUUUAAAGGGUCCGUAGGCGGGUCAUUAAGUCAGUGGUGAAAUCCUACAGCUCAACUGUAGAACUGCCAUUGAAACUGGUGACCUUGAAUAUAAUUGAAGUGGGCGGAAUGUGUCAUGUAGCGGUGAAAUGCUUAGAUAUGACACAGAACACCGAUUGCGAAGGCAGCUCACUAAGUUAUCAUUGACGCUGAGGGACGAAAGCGUGGGUAGCGAACAGGAUUAGAUACCCUGGUAGUCCACGCCGUAAACGAUGUAUACUCGUUGCUAGCGAUACACAGUUAGUGACCAAGCGAAAGUAUUAAGUAUACCACCUGGGGAGUACGAU
Molecule: ribosomal RNA, 850 nt
Filed under: uncultured Bacteroidota bacterium
Lineage: Bacteria; Pseudomonadati; Bacteroidota
Description: bacterial SSU rRNA
Rfam family: Bacterial small subunit ribosomal RNA
Source: RNAcentral